RNAcentral lists this ribosomal RNA (687 nucleotides) under uncultured prokaryote. RNAcentral's name for it is "bacterial SSU rRNA". It matches the Rfam family "Bacterial small subunit ribosomal RNA", at positions 795 to 1482 of the family's 1533-position model. The record is from RNAcentral.
CCACGCCGUAAACGAUGUCGAUUUGGAGGCUGUGUCCUNGAGACGUGGCUUCCGGAGCUAACGCGUUAAAUCGACCGCCUGGGGAGUACGGCCGCAAGGUUAAAACUCAAAUGAAUUGACGGGGGCCCGCACAAGCGGUGGAGCAUGUGGUUUAAUUCGAUGCAACGCGAAGAACCUUACCUACUCUUGACAUCCACGGAACUUGCCAGAGAUGGCUUGGUGCCUUCGGGAACCGUGAGACAGGUGCUGCAUGGCUGUCGUCAGCUCGUGUUGUGAAAUGUUGGGUUAAGUCCCGCAACGAGCGCAACCCUUAUCCUUUGUUGCCAGCACUUCGGGUGGGAACUCAAAGGAGACUGCCGGUGAUAAACCGGAGGAAGGUGGGGAUGACGUCAAGUCAUCAUGGCCCUUACGAGUAGGGCUACACACGUGCUACAAUGGCGUAUACAAAGAGAAGCAAACUCGCGAGAGCCAGCGGACCUCAUAAAGUACGUCGUAGUCCGGAUUGGAGUCUGCAACUCGACUCCAUGAAGUCGGAAUCGCUAGUAAUCGUAGAUCAGAAUGCUACGGUGAAUACGUUCCCGGGCCUUGUACACACCGCCCGUCACACCAUGGGAGUGGGUUGCAAAAGAAGUAGGUAGCUUAACCUUCGGGAGGGCGCUUACCACUUUGUGAUUCAUGACUGGGGUG